Small nuclear RNA from Naja naja (Indian cobra), 89 nucleotides. Its record names the gene U2. It matches the Rfam family "U2 spliceosomal RNA". From Rfam's summary of the family: U2 is a small nuclear RNA (snRNA) component of the spliceosome (involved in pre-mRNA splicing). Complementary binding between U2 snRNA (in an area lying towards the 5' end but 3' to hairpin I) and the branchpoint sequence (BPS) of the intron results the bulging out of an unpaired adenosine, on the BPS, which initiates a nucleophilic attack at the intronic 5' splice site, thus starting the first of two transesterification reactions that mediate splicing. NCBI's taxonomy places the organism in Eukaryota, Metazoa, Chordata, Lepidosauria, Squamata, Elapidae. The record is from Ensembl.
UUUGUUUCUUGGCCUUUUGGCUAAGAUCAAGUGUAGUAUCUUAUAUAGGACUGCUCAUUUUAGAAUUUCUUUUUAAAUGCUAACUCGAA